UACGUAGGGUGCGAGCGUUGUCCGGAAUUAUUGGGCGUAAAGGGCUCGUAGGCGGUCUGUUGCGUCGGGAGUGAAAACUCAGGGCUUAACCCUGAGCCUGCUUCCGAUACGGGCAGACUAGAGGUAUGCAGGGGAGAACGGAAUUUCUGGUGUAGCGGUGAAAUGCGCAGAUAUCAGGAGGAACACCGGUGGCGAAGGCGGUUCUCUGGGCAUUACCUGACGCUGAGGAGCGAAAGUGUGGGGAGCGAACAGG
Molecule: ribosomal RNA, 253 nt
Filed under: uncultured bacterium
Lineage: Bacteria
Description: partial 16S ribosomal RNA
Rfam family: Bacterial small subunit ribosomal RNA
Source: RNAcentral